RNAcentral lists this small RNA (78 nucleotides) under Flavobacterium sp. KMS. RNAcentral describes it as "Flavo-1 RNA". It matches the Rfam family "Flavo-1 RNA". Lineage: Bacteria; Pseudomonadati; Bacteroidota; Flavobacteriia; Flavobacteriales; Flavobacteriaceae. The record is from Rfam by way of RNAcentral.
ACCUAGCCCUGAUGGAAGUGACAUCCUUUUUCUGGCUCCUUUAGCCAGUAAAAGAUAUAGCGAACAGCAGGAAUAGCU